Pomacea canaliculata is the source of this 1960-nucleotide long non-coding RNA. RefSeq lists it as uncharacterized. Lineage: Eukaryota; Metazoa; Mollusca; Gastropoda; Architaenioglossa; Ampullariidae. The record is from RefSeq and is a predicted model, not a curated record. The transcript is spliced from 3 exons.
CUGAUGUAUGAUAGCCCUCAUGACGUGUAACGAAGGAGAAGAGGGUUGAGGUUGCAAGGGGUUCUAUUUCCGGUGGGCUGUUCGGAACUGCACGGCAAGGCCAAAGAUAUACGUGCACUUGUAGAUGGGAUGAAGGAUGUGUGGGGGGUGAUAGAGGGUGGAUUGCUGGGGGAAGGGGUGGGUAGGGUGGGAAAAUAAUCUUGUGAAACGUAGUGCGUGAAGCUGGGUCCUUGCUGGGGAGGGGGUGUGGGUGGGAAAGGACAGUGCACACGGCGCACGUGCGGCUCGAUCCCUCCUACCCUCCCCACCCCCAGCCAGUCGCGUGUGCACAGUGUGCGCAUGCGCGGCACGGGCGUGAACUGUUGUUAGACUGACGACCAUGGCCAGCCGGCAAGGCCACUACUCGUGCUGUGAUGUUGCUGCCUUCACGGCCAGGAUUCGGUUGGAAGGAAGGAAGAAAUCUACUUAGUUGCUGUGGUUUAAGACAGAAUACGCAGGGGCUGUAAUUUUAACAUUUCAAAACAAAAAGUAAAAAAAAAAAGAAGCGGAUUUUUUUCCUUUUCGUUUUUUGGACUGCAAACAGGAGACGGAUGUUGGCCUGACACUCGGAUGUGCCCGCAGGCGUUUUGCCAAGGUGAUAAGGAGUGCUGAAAAGUGAUGCCCACCGGUAAACAUCUGACCUGUUAAAACGCUGCAGGCAUCUUCAGAUUGCCUUCAUUGGUCAGUGUUCACUUGCUGCUACACGUUUAUCUCACAUCCAGCAACAGGUCCUUAGGACAUCGACCGGCCACUACCUUGUGAUAGCAAGAACAAUCAAGAUGACAAUCUCUUUCAAGGCUAAUACUGAAGCGACCCAAUAAAGCUGCAAAAGGAUUAUCUGAACUUUGAGUGUGAGCUGAGCAAGCAAAAAGACAAAGUAUGGAAAAAUCAGUUAUUUACUCAUCGCGCAACGGUCGAGUUUACGGAUUUAUUUCGUGUUCGUGAAUAUUUGGUGUUGAUUUCCUCCUGCGUGUCUGGCUGGAUAUUAUACUUGGACUCACAAAGAGAUCGGGUCUCAGAACUUCAAAAGCGCGGAAUACUUACAUCUUACUGCUCCACCAGGUGAAGAACUUGGAGGUGAGCGUGUGCGCCUUGGUCACCUGCUCCCUACUGUCCUCAUACAUGGCGUCACAAACCUUGCUGAUGGAUAAAGGAACUCAGAACUGACAGCAGCAGGUGGCUAUCUUGACUGACUGACGGAAGUGAUCACUUACUUGGCUGCUGCAGAGUUUUUCUUUGAGCUUCGUCGGCAUUAGCGGCAUCAUGGCCACUCAUCUCGGCCGAAGCUCGUCAUUUGGUCCCGAGAUAGGACGAAGGAUUAUGCGCCCCCUCAGGUCCUUAUCCUUCCGACGGUUGGGGGAGGUCAUCAGCAACAGUCUUUCAGCUGAUACAUUUUCACAUCUUAGAACUGCGACAGUAUACAGCAGCGCUUGAAUACGAGCUAGACGUUAAAGAAAAAGCUGAACGUGGACUCCGAGCGGGUCAACCCACGAAUUGGAAUUAGACCAUUGGAGCGCUGACGGAAUUAUGCCACGUAACGACGGACCGCACCACGUAACUCGUAACUCAGACAGACUGCUUAACUCUUCCACAGGAGAUAACUAAUAAAGCUACGACCAGAUGGCGUGCAAAAUUUUAUUCAUGACGGCAAUGCAGAAUACUUAUUUUUUAGAUUGUGAGAGUACUAAGCUUAUUUUUACCAUGUGUGGUCUUCCAUUGCUCGCCGACCCCACCGCUACCCCCGGCCAGGAGACUAUAUAUGACGUGACUGUGCAUGUAACGUAUCUCAAAAGGUGCACGUCACUCCUCGAGCGUGCCGUAACAAGUCACUUCUGAGCGCAACGCUCGACUCCCAAGAUUCCUACAGACUGACUAAUCUCCCCUGAGCCAGCUGCUGAGACGCUCUGGAAAACUUGCUUGG